GACGAACGCUGGCGGCGUGCCUAAUACAUGCAAGUUGAGCGCUGAAGGUUGGUACUUGUACCAACUGGAUGAGCAGCGAACGGGUGAGUAACGCGUGGGGAAUCUGCCUUUGAGCGGGGGACAACAUUUGGAAACGAAUGCUAAUACCGCAUAAAAACUUUAAACACAAGUUUUAAGUUUGAAAGAUGCAAUUGCAUCACUCAAAGAUGAUCCCGCGUUGUAUUAGCUAGUUGGUGAGGUAAAGGCUCACCAAGGCGAUGAUACAUAGCCGACCUGAGAGGGUGAUCGGCCACAUUGGGACUGAGACACGGCCCAAACUCCUACGGGAGGCAGCAGUAGGGAAUCUUCGGAAAUGGACGAAAGUCUGACCGAGCAACGCCGCGUGAGUGAAGAAGGGUUUCGGAUCGUAAAACUCUGUUGGUAGAGAAGAACGUUGGUGAGAGUGGAAAGCUCAUCAAGUGACGGUAACUACCCAGAAAGGGACGGCUAACUACGUG
Molecule: ribosomal RNA, 497 nt
Filed under: uncultured bacterium
Lineage: Bacteria
Description: partial 16S ribosomal RNA
Rfam family: Bacterial small subunit ribosomal RNA
Source: RNAcentral